RNAcentral lists this ribosomal RNA (465 nucleotides) under uncultured bacterium. RNAcentral's name for it is "partial 16S ribosomal RNA". It matches the Rfam family "Bacterial small subunit ribosomal RNA", at positions 338 to 795 of the family's 1533-position model. The record is from RNAcentral.
CCUACGGGUGGCAGCAGUAGGGAAUCUUCCACAAUGGGCGAAAGCCUGAUGGAGCAACGCCGCGUGGGUGAAGAAGGUCUUCGGAUCGUAAAACCCUGUUGUUAGAGAAGAAAGUGCGUGAGAGUAACUGUUCACGUUUCGACGGUAUCUAACCAGAAAGCCACGGCUAACUACGUGCCAGCAGCCGCGGUAAUACGUAGGUGGCAAGCGUUAUCCGGUUUUUUUGGGCGUAAAGGGAAGGCAGGCGGGCUUUUAAGUCUGAUGUGAAAGCUUUCGGCUUAACCGGAGUAGUGCAUUGGAAACUGGGAGACUUGAGUGCAGAAGAGGAGAGUGGAACUCCAUGGGUAGCGGUGAAAUGCGUAGAUAUAUGGAAGAACACCAGUGGCGAAAGCGGCUCUCUGGUCUGUAACUGACGCUGAGGUUCGAAAGCGUGGGUAGCAAACAGGAUUAGAUACCCUAGUAGUC